ACUGUCAUAGCUCAGUGGCAGAGCACAUGCUUUGCACGCAAAAGGUCCCAGGUUCAAUCUCAGGCAUCAGUA
This is a non-coding RNA of Podarcis lilfordi (Lilford's wall lizard), 72 nucleotides long. Lineage: Eukaryota; Metazoa; Chordata; Lepidosauria; Squamata; Lacertidae. The record is from the annotation of a GenBank genome assembly.